AAAUUCUAAAAAUCUUUAAUAGCAACUUUUAGUCCAUACAUCAUAUUAAUAGCCCAUAAAUUCUAAAAAUCAACAGUGUUACAGUAAUUAAAUAGCAAAUAAUUAGAUUUUUUAACCAUAAUACCCGGCUAGAUUCCGGCAUCGGAAUCCCUACCUUCCGGCGGAAUCUCCGUUGGAAUCAGGAAUUCUGAAGAUGCCAGAGGCUUCUAGAGGGGUAAAAUGUAUUUUCAAAAAUGUUUUUACUGAUUUCAUGGUUUUAAAUAGAAAAGAAUUGAGUUUUGAAAAGAAAAAACUAAGGAGGCAUUUGACAGGUUCGGCCGCCGAAAGUGAAGUUCGGCCACCGAACAUGAAGUUCGGCCACCGAACAUGAAGUUCGGCCACCGAACAUGGGAAGGUUUUGGGAGCGCUUUUGGCCUCCGAAAGCUUUGUUUGAACGAACCAGGGUUCGGCCACCGAACCUCAAGUUCGGCCGCCGAACAUGCAUGAGUUUAGGGGGCACGUUAGGCUGCCGAAGGUCGUUGACCAGGCCACCUAUAAAGAGCCCUCAGAUCAGAAAUGGGCGAGUUUUCUCCCCAUUCUCGAGCUCAGGUGAGUUUAUACUCUCCUUUGGUCGUUUUCAUGCUUUCUCUACCCAUCCCUCAAGUUUUCAUGAGUUCUACCCUUGUUUUGAAGUUUUGAAACUUAAAUAGGAGUUUUGGGAGCUUGGAGGCUUUUGGAGCUUGGAUCCUCCACACCUCCGAGUUAGGGAUCGCACCAACCUUCGAUCUUCAAGAGGUAAGUGUAGAUCUUUGCUUUCCUUGUGUUUUAAUGAAGUUUUAAGUAAGUUUAAUGAUGUUUUGAUGGUUGAGUAUGGGUAGAUUUGCAUUUUUAGGUUUAUGUGGGUUUUAUGCCCAAUGUAUGUUAUGUGAUGUUUGUGUUGAGGAAUUUAUGUUAGUUUAUGCUCCUUUAUGCAUGUGGGAGAGUGUAUGCAUGAUUGGGAGAGAGCAAGUGAGGUUUUGAGUAGUUUUGAUGAUUUUGGCUUAUGUGGGUCAUAAGCUAUUUAUGUAUGCUUUAUGAUGUUCUUUGUUGGAGUUUAAGCUUGUUUAAGCUCCUUUGUGCAUGGUUAAGGGUUUAUGCAUGUUUUUUUAAGGUUGGGUGCUUGUUUGGGGGUGUUUGGUAAGGUUUUGGAGGCUGGUAUGCACGAGAGGCUGAGUUCUGAUGAACUCAGGUUCGGCCGCCGAAGGUAGUUUCGGCCGCCGAACCUGCCUGUGGAUGCAUGGUUUGGCCGCCUAACCUUGCCCCCGAAAGUUGUGUUUCAGAUCUGGAGUAGACUUUCGGCCGCCGAAAGUGAUGUUCGGCUGCCGAAAGUGCCUGACUUUCGGAUCUAGAGAGAGGGUUCGGCCGCCGAAGGUGCCCCCGAACCUGCAUGGCUUUCGGCUCUGGAAGGGACAUUCGGCCGCCAAAAGUGCUGCCGAAAGUGUCCUGUCCAGCCCUUUCAUGGGCAUUUUCUAUGCAUGUUUUGAGGAUGUUUUAAGAGGUUUUUGGGGAGUUGUUUAUGAGUUGUUUAGAGUGUGUUUGGCACCUCAUUCGAGUCCACCUGUGUAGGAUUGGACCCGAGGGACCGAGGAGGCCAUCGGUGUUAGCUGUUGCAGAGUCAAUCCAGCGUCUGCCAGAGGUGAGUAGAACUAAACUUAAUAUUUUAUUUUACGAAAUCAAAUGCCUAAAGCAUGUUCAUGCAUCAUGUUUAUAUGUAAUAGGUUGAUUGCACUAGUCAUACGAAUAUGACGCAUUGCAUUAUUUACUGUUGAUGUGGAUGGACCAAGGCGACCCCAAUAGCCCUAGAUAUGUUAUGUUAAUGAAAUCCUGAGGAGCCCCACCGAGGGCCGGGCAUAAUGAAGUCCUGAGGAGCCCGAAGGGCCGGGCAUAAUGAAGUCCUGAGGAGCCCAAAGGGCCGGGCACCAUGAUAUGUUACAGACAGAGGGAGUUUUGGUGGUCAUGUCCAUCCGUUAUGUGAAUUGUUUGUGUUGUAACGCAUUUCAUGAAAGCAUAUAAUUAAUGAACUGUUUUUCUGUUUCUACUCACUGGGCUUUUUAGCUCACCCCUCUCCCCUAACUCCAGUGUUGCAGGUUUGAGGAAGAUUGGAAAGUCUCAAGAGUUAAAGUCUUGUUAUGUAAUAGGUUAGCAUCUUUAGUGUGGACAUGUAUUGUAAAUCGAUAUAAUGGAUUGUAAGAUAAUGAAAUGUAAUGUAAUGCAAGUAUAGUAGAGUUGUGUUAUGUAUUAGUACUGUGCUUGGCCCUAAGACUUGGUUAGUCCCUUUUUAAUACAUGAUGUAUGUUAUGUUUAGUGUUGAGUUGUAUUUGACCUAAACUUGUAGCAUGUGUUGUUUACCACGCUAGAGUAUUUGAUGAGGACCCUAGUGGAGGUCUUAUGUUUGUGGUUUGAUGCAUGCACAAGUUAGAUUUUGGUUCAUUGGAUGUGAUUCCAGCUUGAUGUAUGUUAUGUUGACCCAACUAGAGUUUUGAUGAGGGCUCUAGUAGGGGGGUUCUUUAUGUUUCCAGUUAUGUCGCAUGCAGGUCAAGCUCGGUCUAUACAUCUUAUAUUACAGUUUUUAUGUUAAAGUUUUGAUCAUGUAUGGGAUUUGACCAGGUGAUAGGAAGUAUGUUUGGCUUGCUACGGGUCCCGGCGGCCUUAAGCCGAUCUGGAUCCUAGCGCCGAUAGCGAUUCGGGCCGUUACAUAGGGGUAUCGGUUUUCGGGUCGUUACAUUAACAGUAUCCAAAUAAUCAAAUUAAUAGUCCAUAAAUUCUAAAAAUCUUUAAUAGCAACUAAAAAUUCUUUAACAACAUGCACAUAAAAGAUCUUGAUUAUCAAAAAAUUUGAUUGCAAACCUGAAGAGAGUUCCAGUCAAAGGAGAUGUCGCCGACGCCGAUUGGGGAGAGGCAAGGGUUGUCUCCAGCAGUCAUCAGUGAAGUGGGGGAGAGAAGCGUCAAUUGGAAAGAGUAGAUAUCACCGACUGGGGAGAGAGAAGGAGAUGUCGUCGAUGCCGACCGAGGAGAGGGAAGAGUUGUCUCCGACUGGGAAGUGGGAGACGUCGCCAC
Molecule: long non-coding RNA, 3075 nt
Filed under: Manihot esculenta (cassava)
Lineage: Eukaryota; Viridiplantae; Streptophyta; Magnoliopsida; Malpighiales; Euphorbiaceae
Description: long non-coding RNA (MESC_LNC006966)
Source: RNAcentral